GGAGAGGUGUCCGAGAGGCCGAAGGAGCACGCCUGGAAAGUGUGUAUACGUAAAAAGCGUAUCGGGGGUUCGAAUCCCCUCCUCUCCU
This 88-nucleotide transfer RNA is filed under the name Lactococcus taiwanensis. RNAcentral describes it as "tRNA-Ser". It matches the Rfam family "tRNA". From Rfam's summary of the family: Transfer RNA (tRNA) molecules are approximately 80 nucleotides in length. Their secondary structure includes four short double-helical elements and three loops (D, anti-codon, and T loops). The record is from RNAcentral. Lineage: Bacteria; Bacillati; Bacillota; Bacilli; Lactobacillales; Streptococcaceae.